GAUGAACGCUGGCGGCGUGCCUAAUACAUGCAAGUCGAGCGAACAGACGAGGAGCUUGCUCCUCUGACGUUAGCGGCGGACGGGUGAGUAACACGUGGAUAACCUACCUAUAAGACUGGGAUAACUUCGGGAAACCGGAGCUAAUACCGGAUAAUAUAUUGAACCGCAUGGUUCAAUAGUGAAAGACGGUUUUGCUGUCACUUAUAGAUGGAUCCGCGCCGCAUUAGCUAGUUGGUAAGGUAACGGCUUACCAAGGCAACGAUGCGUAGCCGACCUGAGAGGGAGAGGGGCCACAAUGACACUGAGACACGCUCCAGACUCCUAGGGGAGGAAGCAGUGGGGAUUCUUCGGCAAUGGGCGAAGGCCGGAAGGAGCAACGCCGGGUGGGUGAGGAAGGUUUUCGGAUCGAAAAACUCUUUUAUUGGGAAAAAAAAAAGGUGUAAGUACUUAUGCACUUCUUGAGGGUACCUAAUCAGAAAGCCACGGCUAACUACGUG
This 497-nucleotide ribosomal RNA is filed under the name uncultured bacterium. RNAcentral's name for it is "partial 16S ribosomal RNA". It matches the Rfam family "Bacterial small subunit ribosomal RNA", at positions 28 to 507 of the family's 1533-position model. The record is from RNAcentral.